RNAcentral lists this ribosomal RNA (373 nucleotides) under uncultured bacterium. RNAcentral's name for it is "bacterial SSU rRNA". It matches the Rfam family "Bacterial small subunit ribosomal RNA", at positions 524 to 898 of the family's 1533-position model. The record is from RNAcentral.
UACGGAGGGUGCAAGCGUUAUCCGGAAUCAUUGGGUUUAAAGGGUCCGCAGGCGGUCUUAUAAGUCAGUGGUGAAAGCCUACAGCUCAACUGUAGAACUGCCAUUGAUACUGUAAGACUUGAAUUCGAUCGAAGUGGGCGGAAUAUGACAUGUAGCGGUGAAAUGCUUAGAUAUGUCAUAGAACACCGAUAGCGAAGGCAGCUCACUAGGUCUGGAUUGACGCUCAGGGACGAAAGCGUGGGGAGCAAACAGGAUUAGAUACCCUGGUAGUCCACGCCGUAAACUAUCAAUACUCGUUCUCAGCCCUUCAGGGGUUGGGGACCAAGCGAAAGUGAUAAGUAUUGCACCUGGGGAGUACGAUCGCAAGGUUGAA